This 332-nucleotide ribosomal RNA is filed under the name uncultured bacterium. RNAcentral's name for it is "bacterial SSU rRNA". It matches the Rfam family "Bacterial small subunit ribosomal RNA", at positions 55 to 387 of the family's 1533-position model. The record is from RNAcentral.
AUGCAAGUCGACGGAACGAUGGGAGCUUGCUCCCAGGCGUCGAGUGGCGGACGGGUGAGUAAUACUUAGGAAUCUGCCCAUUAGUGGGGGACAACUAGAAGAAAUUCUAGCUAAUACCGCAUACGCCCUACGGGGGAAAGCGGGGGAUCUUCGGACCUCGCGCUAAUGGAUGAGCCUAAGUCGGAUUAGCUUGUUGGUGAGGUAAUGGCUCACCAAGGCGACGAUCCGUAGCUGGUCUGAGAGGACGAUCAGCCACACUGGGACUGAGACACGGCCCAGACUCCUACGGGAGGCAGCAGUGGGGAAUAUUGGACAAUGGGCGCAAGCCUGAU